CCGGGCUUGAAUUGCGCUUGAAUGAGGAUGAAAGUUCUCAGUCGUAAGACAAGCGUGAAGGUGCUGCAUGGUUGUCGUCAGCUCGUGCCGUGAGGUGUCGGCUUAAGUGCCAUAACGAGCGCAACCCCGAUCGUCGGUUGCCAGCGGGUAAUGCCGGGGACUCCGACGAGACUGCCGUCGUAAGAUGCGAGGAAGGUCGGGAUGACGUCAAAUCAGCACGGCCCUUACGUCCGGGGCCACACACGUGUUACAAUGGGGGGUACAGCAGGUCGCUUGACGGUGACGUUAAGCUAAUCUUAAAAACCCCUCCCAGUUCGGAUCGGAGUCUGCAACCCGACUCCGUGAAGCCGGAUUCGCUAGUAAUCGCACAUCAGCCACGGCGCGGUGAAUACGUUCCC
Molecule: ribosomal RNA, 398 nt
Filed under: uncultured soil bacterium
Lineage: Bacteria
Description: bacterial SSU rRNA
Rfam family: Bacterial small subunit ribosomal RNA
Source: RNAcentral